GACGUAGGGCGCGAGCGUUGUCCGGAUUGAUUGGGCGUAAAGAGCUCGUAGGCGGUUCGUUGCGUCGGCUGUGAAAACCCGCAGCUCAACUGUGGGCCUGCAGCUGAUACGGGCGGGCUGGAGUUCGGUAGGGGAGACUGGAAUUCCUGGUGUAGCGGUGAAAUGCGCAGAUAUCAGGAGGAACACCGGUGGCGAAGGCGGGUCUCUGGGCCGAUACUGACGCUGAGGAGCGAAAGCGUGGGGAGCGAACAGG
Molecule: ribosomal RNA, 253 nt
Filed under: uncultured bacterium
Lineage: Bacteria
Description: partial 16S ribosomal RNA
Rfam family: Bacterial small subunit ribosomal RNA
Source: RNAcentral